GACGAACGCUGGCGGCGUGCUUAACACAUGCAAGUCGAACGAAGAGCGACGGAAGCUUGCUUCUAUCAAUCUUAGUGGCGAACGGGUGAGUAACGCGUAAUCAACCUGCCCUUCAGAGGGGGACAACAGUUGGAAACGACUGCUAAUACCGCAUACGAUCUAAUCUCGGCAUCGAGGAUGGAUGAAAGGUGGCCUCUACAUGUAAGCUAUCACUGAAGUAGGGGAUUGCGUCUGAUUAGCUAGCUGGAGGGGUAACGGCCCACCAAGGCGAUGAUCAGUAGCAGGUCUGAGAGGAGGAACGGCCACACUGGGACUGAGACACGGCCCAGACUCCUACGGGAGGCAGAAGUGGGGAAACUUCCGCAAUGGACGAGAGUCUGACGGAGCAACGCCGCGUGAGUGAUGACGGCCUUCGGGUUGUAAAGCGCUGUUAAUCGGGACGAAAGGCCUUCUUGCGAAUAGUGAGAAGGAUUGACGGUACCGGAAUAGAAAGCCACGGCUAACUACGUG
Molecule: ribosomal RNA, 510 nt
Filed under: uncultured bacterium
Lineage: Bacteria
Description: partial 16S ribosomal RNA
Rfam family: Bacterial small subunit ribosomal RNA
Source: RNAcentral